AGACGGGGGGGCGAGCGUUGUUCGGAAUUACUGGGCGUAAAGGGCGCGCAGGCGGCCUGGGAAGUCUUGGGUGAAAGCCCCCAGCUCAACUGGGGAAUGGCCUGAGAAACCACUAGGCUGGAGUGCUGCAGAGGGAAGCGGAAUUCCCGGUGGAGCGGUGAAAUGCGUAGAUAUCGGGAGGAACACCAGAGGCGAAGGCGGCUUCCUGGACAGACACUGACGCUGAGGCGCGAAAGCUAGGGGAGCAAACGGAAUUAGAUACCCCAGUAGUCC
Molecule: ribosomal RNA, 273 nt
Filed under: uncultured bacterium
Lineage: Bacteria
Description: partial 16S ribosomal RNA
Rfam family: Bacterial small subunit ribosomal RNA
Source: RNAcentral